RNAcentral lists this ribosomal RNA (463 nucleotides) under uncultured bacterium. Its description in RNAcentral is "bacterial SSU rRNA". It matches the Rfam family "Bacterial small subunit ribosomal RNA", at positions 337 to 793 of the family's 1533-position model. The record is from RNAcentral.
UCCUACGGGGGGCAGCAGUGGGGAAUAUUGGACAAUGGGCGCAAGCCUGAUCCAGCAAUACCGCGUGUGUGAAGAAGGCCUUCGGGUUGUAAAGCACUUUCAAUUGGGAGGAAAACCUGCCGGCCAAUACCCGGCAGCUUGACAUUACCUUUAGAAGAAGCACCGGCUAACUCCGUGCCAGCAGCCGCGGUAAUACGGAGGGUGCAAGCGUUAAUCGGAAUUACUGGGCGUAAAGCGUGCGUAGGCGGUUCGUUAAGUCAGAUGUGAAAGCCCCGGGCUCAACCUGGGAACUGCAUUUGAAACUGGCGGACUAGAGUUGAGUAGAGGGGAGUGGAAUUUCAGGUGUAGCGGUGAAAUGCGUAGAUAUCUGAAGGAACACCAGUGGCGAAGGCGACUCCCUGGACUCAAACUGACGCUGAGGUACGAAAGCGUGGGUAGCAAACAGGAUUAGAUACCCGAGUAU